Molecule: ribosomal RNA, 330 nt
Filed under: uncultured bacterium
Lineage: Bacteria
Description: bacterial SSU rRNA
Rfam family: Bacterial small subunit ribosomal RNA
Source: RNAcentral
AUUGAACGCUGGCGGCAUGCCUAACACAUGCAAGUCGAACGGCAGCACGGCAGUAGCAAUACUGUGGGUGGCGAGUGGCGGACGGGUGAGGAAUACGUCGGAAUCUGCCCAGUCGUGGGGGAUAACUAGCCGAAAGGUUAAGCUAAUACCGCAUACGACCGAGAGGUGAAAGCGGGGACGGCAAGCCUCGCGCGAUUGGAUGAGCCGACGUCGGAUUAGCUAGUUGGAGGUGUAAAGGCCCACCAAGGCGACGAUCCGUAGCUGGUCUGAGAGGAUGAUCAGCCACACUGGAACUGAGACACGGUCCAGACUCCUACGGGAGGCAGCAGU